UCUUGGUAGGGUUGAAACAUCAGCUCCCAUACAGUCCCCAAAGUUAAGCAAUGUUGAGCCUGGUCAGUACUUAGAUAGGUAACCGCUAGGGAAUAGCAGGUGCUGUAAG
Acanthosepion pharaonis is the source of this 109-nucleotide non-coding RNA. The record is from the annotation of a GenBank genome assembly. NCBI's taxonomy places the organism in Eukaryota, Metazoa, Mollusca, Cephalopoda, Sepiida, Sepiidae.